UACGUAGGGUGCAAGCGUUAAUCGGAAUUACUGGGCGUAAAGAGUGCGUAGGCGGUUUUUUAAGUUUGGUGUGAAAUCUCCCGGCUUAACUGGGAGGGUGCGCCGAAGACUGGAAGGCUUGAGUAUGGGAGAGGUAAGCGGAAUUCCUGGUGUAGCGGUGAAAUGCGUAGAUAUCAGGAGGAACACCUGCGGUGUAGACGGCUUACUGGACCAUAACUGACGCUGAGGCACGAAAGCGUGGGCAGCAAACAGG
Molecule: ribosomal RNA, 253 nt
Filed under: uncultured bacterium
Lineage: Bacteria
Description: partial 16S ribosomal RNA
Rfam family: Bacterial small subunit ribosomal RNA
Source: RNAcentral